UGCUGCAGUCGUGCCACGGGCACUCCCAACGGCCUGUGGGCAGGAAGAGGGGUUAAGAUGCAUUACUUCUACAAGAUCAUCUGGGCCAUCAGCACUACUGACAAGACGUUUCAGGAUGAACCCAAGACCCGCCGCACAACGAGCCGAGUGGCUAAAUGUGUCUGAAGUGGACCAGUUGGCGACACUUCACCGCACACCAAGUGACUGAGCAACCUACAUCUACCCACGCACGGCAACGGAAAAACUACAACCCUGUAUUGGGUUUUGAGGCUCCACAUGCAAGAUACUGGACUGCCAUUUUUUUGCAUUGAAACACAAAAAUAUGGAACGAUUGUCAAGGAAAAAGCAGAUGGCCACAAGGAAGAUGAGACGGGCGAGAAUAAGGAGACAGAGUAGAUAUCGUCAGAGGCUGUCAGCAAUGAUUGAUCGCCCUAUUAACUGACUGCACCUGUGCACACUCUCUAUGCUUUGUUUUCUAACCACAGGGUCGCGGGCGUGCUGGAGCCUAUCCCAGCUGUCAUCGGGCAGGAGGCGGGGUACACCCUGAACUGGUUGCCAGCCAAUCGCAGGGCACACACAGAAACAAACAACCAUCCGUACUCACAUUCACACCUACGGGCAAUUUAGAGUCUCCAAUUAAUGCAUGUUUUUGGGAUGUGGGAGGAAACCGGAGUGCCCACGCAGCCACGGGGAGAACAUGCGGGGCCGGGGAUUGAACCCGGGUCCUCAGGACUGUGAGGCUGACGCUCUAACCAGUCGGACACCGUGGUGCCCAUUGGCUGCACCCCGAGGAAACCUGAGCAGUUGUCUGAUCCACAGUGGCAAGAUGUUCUCCUGUUGCCCACACAGUGCAGGUUGUAAUUGAAUGUCAUCUCGGUGCCUGGACACACAGAGAGGAGGCAUUUCUUUGAACUUCUCUAAACUGGAAACUGAACCCAUCUCAAGUCGAGUACUUUGGGGCUGCAGCUGUGGUUAAUGAACCGGGAAGAAUUCCCUUUUGGACCAGCGUCAAUCACACGAUCCUGAAGUGUGCAAAGAUGGACAUUAGGACAAAGGAAGACACGGCCCUGAUUGAUCCAGUAGUAGUCGUGGGAACCGAAGAAAAAGACGGGGAAGUCGCCGAUAUCGUGACGAAGGCUCUGGAUGUUUGACGGCACCAAGCGAGGAUUGCAGAUCUCUGCCGGCCACCACCUGCAAGAAAGGAGAGACGAGUUAGAGAAAGAACAUGCCACAAAACAGAAGCACAGCUCUCAGAUUACCGUAAUUUCUCAUGUAUAAUGCACAUUUUCUCCCCCCAAAAAUUGUCAAAAGUCAAUAGUGCGCAUUAUAUAUAGGUAUAGGGGAAAAUGAAAACAACUUUCACAUUUUAUAAAUGUAUGCCGCCAUCUAGAGGAUGAAA
Long non-coding RNA from Phyllopteryx taeniolatus (common seadragon), 1399 nucleotides. RefSeq lists it as uncharacterized. The record is from RefSeq and is a predicted model, not a curated record. NCBI's taxonomy places the organism in Eukaryota, Metazoa, Chordata, Actinopteri, Syngnathiformes, Syngnathidae. The transcript is spliced from 5 exons.